Molecule: long non-coding RNA, 1859 nt
Organism: Rosa rugosa (rugosa rose)
Lineage: Eukaryota; Viridiplantae; Streptophyta; Magnoliopsida; Rosales; Rosaceae
Exons: 9
Source: RefSeq, a predicted model, not a curated record
GAUAACGAACAGUAGCCGCACCAAAAACCACAAAACAGAGGCAGCCCCUUUGGGCUGCUCUCUUCUCCCAUCUCCUUCCUCCAUUUUCCUCUUUUCUUUAUAAUUUCUUUUGAGAUUUGAAGAACUACUCACACCACUACUAGAAUAAUGUCAUUAGACAUCGCCACUAUUAAAUCGGUCAGGAUUGCACCUGAUGUUAAAAAUCGUGCUAACAUCAGUUUGUGAAAUAACCGAUUUCUAUUGUUAUUAUGGACAUCAGUCACCAAAUAAGCCGAUAUGAAAAGUUUCGUUCGAAAAUUUUGUAAAAACGCGGAGGGACUAAGUUUGAAAUGUUUGAGAAACGCGGGGACUAAAAAUUUAAUCCCCCCACUUAGUUAUUUUUCCCACACGACUUGGAUCGACUUUGAGUCAUUCCCAAACCCUAGCUCAUUUUCACCCGAGCUCCUCGUCUUCCUCCUCCGCCUCUGAGCAACACCCUGCCCUUAUCACUCGCAACCCUUAUAACCUAGUCUCUGAGCUUCGGCUGCUCUGCCUCCUCAACACCACAACCCUUCAGCACUAGUCCUUCUCUCUCUCUCUCUCUCCCCUUCUUUCUGUUUUCUCUUGUUCCGAAUCUGAACAAGCCUCUGUUGAUUUCGUCAUCUAACAAUCUGUUUCUUCUAUAAAACUCUAAUUGCAGGCGUCGGAAAACCUCAUGAGGGAAAUCAAGGUCCAGAAGCUCGUCCUCAACAUCUCCGUCGGCGAGAGGGGCGAUCGUCUCACCAACUCCGCCAAGGUCUUGGAGCAACUCAGCGGCCAGACCCCUGUUUUCUCCAAAGGUGAGAUUGUUAGGGUUUCUCUGUUCAUUUUUGUUUUCUCCAACAUAUUUCUUCAACUUCCCGGCGACCAAGUUGAAGGGUCUGUUGCUGCCCCGGCCGCUGUCGUCAAAUUCUCUUAAACGGCUUGAGAUGCUUCUUGAGAACUCCGUCCAUUGAGCCUCUGAUUCCAGAGUCAAGCUAGAUACAAAAUGGAGCAACUUAUUUUUCCAUAGACAAGAGUUCUACUCCAUGAGAUGGGAAGCCAGCUUUGUUAAUUCAAGAUGAUGGCGGCAAAAUGGACCCAGAGGCUAUAAGGCGCUGUAUGAGCUUUGGAUUUACAUAUAAGAAAUCAAAAUUGACCAUUGGACAGUUCUUUCAGAUGGAAAUGAUUUCAAGACCAGCUCUAUGAGACUUGGAGCAGAUGUUAUGGUCUUCAGUCGCCACAGGACAAUGAGUUAGUCCAGUUGAAGUGUGAAGCAAGGCUGAAAGGAGGAUUCUGUGCUGAGCCAGAGUCUAAGCUUUUGUUUAUCAUUCGUAUCUGUGGUAUCAAUGCCAUUGAUCCAAAGACAAAGAAGAUCUUGCAGCUUUUGUGAUUGAGACAGAGCUUUGAUCAAAAGAAGAAUGGAAUGUUCCGACUAGCUGACUUCAUAUCCCUUUGUAUAUUUGUGCAGUCUGCUCGUAAUCUGUUCAAUUCAUUUGAUACAGCUAAGCAAGGCAGAGUGACUCUUGAUCUCAACCAAUUCAUCUAUUGCUCUGCCAAUUGCAGAAUAUAAACUGCUGCAAUGAUGGGUGCUGCGGAAUUCCGACAUUUCUAUUCAAGUUUUUUCUUUCUGGAUGUAUGACCAGCAGAGUAUGCAUCUGCUUCUUAAGAUGUAUCACCUAGAAUGGGAUACGGCAGUGUAAAAAAGCAAAAGCUUCAAAUGGAAAAGUUGUAUGCUUUAGUGUGUUAAAUUUUCUCUUAUUGAUGUUCCAGACACAUCUUUUACAUAAUAGAGGAAAUAUGUUACAAUAUAAUCUCUAACAGAUGAUGAUAUCAGAUAAAAUACCUCAAUAUUCAAAUCA